GAGAACCACGUGGAGGAAAAGCACGCGAGUUUGGAGCGGGUGGAGCAGGAACAGAGGUGGACUGGAAUGUCACACGACGGGGCAGCUGGAAGGGCACCACUGAGUUCAGUACUUCAAAAUUGCCGUGCUCUACCUCUCCCCAGUGCACAAAAACACUCUCCACACCAAGCUGCUGCUGCUGGGGGAUGGAGGGAUGGCGUCAGCGAUUCAAGACUGUUUUUCCUACCUGUUCAGCACUUCUUUCAGCGAUAUGAAGUUAAAUCCAGAGUCACACAGGCUAGAGUGCAGUGGCAUGAUCUCAGCUCCCCACAACCUCUGCCUCCGAUGUUCAAGCGAUUCUCCUGUCUCAGCCUCCUGAGUAGCUGGAAUUACAGGCACACUCUCCUAGAGAGGUGGCAAGAAAAUCUCUCAGCAGAUCUAGGGCUCCAUUUGACCAGCUCAUCAUGCUUGAUGGAAAAGGAUCACCUCUUUCUCAGUAGCGUCAGCCAAAGUUCCAGGGCUGAAUCUCAUGGAAACAAUCUGGAAUAUGAGCCUAUCCCAGAACCAAUCUCUGUGGCCAGGGGGAUGCACUAUCCUGAACUAGCAG
This 586-nucleotide long non-coding RNA is filed under the name Homo sapiens (human). RNAcentral's name for it is "USP2 antisense RNA 1". Lineage: Eukaryota; Metazoa; Chordata; Mammalia; Primates; Hominidae. The record is from RNAcentral.